This is a long non-coding RNA of Mesocricetus auratus (golden hamster), 984 nucleotides long. RefSeq lists it as uncharacterized. The record is from RefSeq and is a predicted model, not a curated record. The transcript is spliced from 4 exons. NCBI's taxonomy places the organism in Eukaryota, Metazoa, Chordata, Mammalia, Rodentia, Cricetidae.
ACGAGGAGCGGCGUUUCCGCGUUUCCACUGUAGACCACAAGGGGGCAGAAGAGGACAAGGAGAAAACCUGGGCGAUGGCGUGGACCCGGGUAGCAGCAAAAUCGGACACUACACUCUCCAAAACGACAUUGUGAAAAAGACAGCGCGGGAGGAACACAGUGAUGAGGGGAGGACUCCGCUAGCCACGGUGAUCCCUCUGGUGUGAACAAUCAUAACUGGUCACCGGCACCAGGUCUGGGGUUGCGCCUACCACUCAGGUGGCACCAGGAGAAGGUGCCUGUUGGUGCAACAAACUGCAUUUGACCCCUGAGAUUCACUCGACCACAGCUGCGUGGUCCUGGGUCAGGUACCACACACCGUCUCUCUUGUGGGAUCCUCUCUUCCUCGGCAGGAGGCUGGGGUCUGAAUUCAAGGCAUCCAUAGCCAUGCUGCCUGCAAAGGAUGCAGGGAAGAACCCCUCCUUGCUUCCCCGAGCUCCUGUGCUGUGUCUCUGUCCCUAACUUCUGACCGUGUUGCCCACUCAUUGGAAAGGUUCACUCUACUUCCAAGGACGCCUCUCAGAUCUGUGAAGAAGCCAUUUCUGGUGAAGCUCACUUUGUGAUUCCGGCAACAGGGUCUGGGAAUGUAGAAACUGGAGGAGUGUGGAGGAGUGCUUGCCUACUACAAGCAAGGCCCUGGGUCCAAGUCCACCAGAAAUAAAAGAAAGCAAGACCACUGAGAACUGUAUGCUGUGUUCCAGAACUUUCUGAGGUUGUUUACAGGUCCUAACAGUCUUCUCACUGAGUGUUCAGGGCCCUUUAUAUGCAUGAUUGCAUCAGCUGCAAACAAACCCAUUCACUCCUCCCUUGACAAUUUCAAUGGCUCUUCAGCGCUUCUACUGUCCAGUUUCUCAGCUAGGACAUCCAGUCCUGAAUGCCGCAGAAGUGGUUAGAGACUUGCACUAGUCCUCCCUUACUGGGGACGUCUUUUCUCCACUGGUGAGAA